AGCUUGUGAUCAGUUCAAAUACCAGGCCGUUUAUUAGGCACCAGUGUAGUGGUAACUGUAAAACAGCAUUGAAAAAUAGGACUAACUGAGCUACAAUCACAAUGUCAUGCUUCUAAGGGACAGGGGUAACACAAAAGCAGUUACUGCAGGAAUACAUUAAAGAGAAUAAGAUGGACACCCCCACAAAGGGAGAGACACUUCCAUCACUAUCAAAACAUGCCAAGAAUGAUGGGAACAUGCCCUUGAAAGCUAGUCCAGACACAACAACCAUGCUCCCCCAGUUAAACUCUGGAAUGUGCAGAGAUGACAUGCCAGCCUCAACAGUGACUUCACCUAGCCAGUACAGUGUGCAAUUCCACCAAACAGGCUGUGGAGGCAAAAACAGCUUUGAGAUCAUUACUCAGAGGUUAAACCAGUCAAUUCGAGAGUUUGAAGACAUUUAUGAUAUUCGAGAUCCCUGGAUCAGACGUGACAGAGUAUGUAUUGCCAGUGGAUACAGCAGCCUUCACACCUGUGAUUAAUGUUAUACUGGUAUUGCAUUGUUAUGUACAGCAGCCUUCACACCUGUGAUUAAUGUUAUACUGGUAUUGCAUUGUUAUAUACAGCAGCCUUCACACCUGUGAUUAAUGUUAUACUGGUAUUGCAUUGUUAUAUACAGCAGCCUUCACACCUGUGAUUAAUGUUAUACUGGUAUUGCACUGUUAUAUACAGCAGCCUUCACACCUGUGAUUAAUGUUAUACUGGUAUUGCAUUGUUAUAUACAGCAGCCUUCACACCUGUGAUUAAUGUUAUACUGGUAUUGCAUUGUUAUAUACAGCAGCCUUCACACCUGUGAUUAAUGUUAUACUGGUAUUGCACUGUUAUAUACAGCAGCCUUCACACCUGUGAUUAAUGUUAUACUGGUAUUGCAUUGUUAUAUACAGCAGCCUUCACACCUGUGAUUAAUGUUAUACUGGUAUUGCAUUGUUAUAUACAGCAGCCUUCACACCUGUGAUUAAUGUUAUACUGGUAUUGCACUGUUAUAUACAGCAGCCUUCACACCUGUGAUUAAUGUUAUACUGGUAUUGCACUGUUAUAUACAGCAGCCUUCACACCUGUGAUUAAUGUUAUACUGGUAUUGCAUUGUUAUAUACAGCAGCCUUCACACCAAAAGUCAAUGAAAACGUGUUGUUUGUGUUUGUUUUCUGACAGGGGAGUAGAGGUGGAGACUUUAGCUUGCUUCUUACAUCUUUUGAAGCAAUGGCAAUUAAGCUUGACACUACAGUAAAUAAAGAAAUCAAAGUAAGGAAAUCUAUGGGUUAUAGCCUAUACAGUACGCAUAUUUGUUUUCUAUGUUCUCGUUUCCAUCCUUCAUGGGUUUCUUUGGUUAUUAUCAUCACAAAAAACAAGUUACUACAUUAAAAAAAGAAACACCUGCUAGUCUUAUAGUUUUUUUUCAUAUAACUUCCAGAUUUGAUCACACCUUGGUGUAGCUUCCCGAAUUAAACUUUCUGUAUUUCCUUUUCUUCGUUUAUUCAGAUACUGGAAUCGUUGGCCUUUGUAAGUAGAAACAUACGAGUGGAAUGCAUCCAUGACCUUUAUUGUAAAUGUUUGAAAACCUCAUCUUCAGGGUGCCGUUUGUCACAGAAACACUUUCAGAAACAUAAAUCCAAGCUAUAAUCACAUUUAUAUUACCUUUUAUAUUAAAUGUGUAAACAUUCCCUUUAAUUGUGUAUAAAUUAGACAUGUGUUCUACACAUCUCAUUUAUAUUGUUAUUCAACAAAAGUAUAAACUUCUAAUUUUAACAAAGUUUUACUUGUCACUGUUAAUUUUCUCUUCUGCUUGACAGUGGCUGGAGAAUGAGGCAGAGCACAUAGAAAUGGUAAUUGUCCUGUGAAAAGGAUAUUAAAUUAAAGGCAGAAGAACACAAUAUUCCAGGCUAGUUAGACAGUAACAGAAUUAAAUUCCUUUGCUGAAGUAGCAAUUGCAUCAAAGCAAAGUAAAGUAUAAGCAGAAUUAAUAAACCUUAAAGUGCAGUUGCAAAUAUUUGGAACUGUGAAAUCUGUGAAAUAAAACAUUGCCUCAUUGGUAUGAGAAACUGGGACUGAUUUCAAAUUCCUGUAUUUGAGCCUCCUUACGAGAGGGGGUUAAUAUAGAUUGAGGGACUUUCUGUUUCACCAGCUAAAACCAUUACAGCUGCUAGAACCUUGAGAAAUCUGUUGAGUAAUUGUAAUCUUGCCCAUUGACCUUUUCUUCAAAAUAGCUGACUGGCAGCCAUUUUCUAAGUUUAGAAUGCGAAACCUUAAGACCCAAAACAGCUGAAUGGAGGAAUGACCUUUCAUAUAACCCCUUCAGAUUGUUUCAUAUAAACCCUUCAGAUUGUUUCAUAUAACCCCUUCAGAUUGUUUCAUAUGAACCCUUCAGAUUGUUUCACAUAACCCCUUCAGAAUGUGCCUAAUUCUUUUUUUCUUUUUUUCUUUUAAAUUUACUUCCCGCAUUUGUAAUUACUUUAAAAAACCCUGAAGGAUUUUUCAAAUUGUAGUUACUGGUCACCUCCAAAAUGACAUGGCUAUUAGUACUAAUGAUAUAUUGAAGGCUUUACAGACAGUAGUUCUCACUACUGUAUGUAUUUACUAGAUUUGCCUAGAAGCACAGUAGUAUAGCAAAUAUAUCCCCUUCUCAGGCAGAUUCAGAAGAGGCUGCUUCUAAUGUGUAUGAUGCUCAGCCCCCCCUGGAUGAGGAAAUCGUGAUUCAUGAAAUUGUCAGACUAGUGAAAGGCUUUCAAUGCCUUGAUGCUCUAAAGAACCGUGUCAGAGACCUGUCACGGUACAGAUUCCCAACCACGACGUAAGUACCAGGCAAAACCAACUUUAAUAACCCUUUUUAGAUUUUAUUACGACAGAAACAGCUCAUUGGUUUUAAUCAAUGAGCCAAGACAGUGUCUGCUUGGUUAAAGGGUUGAUCAUCCAUAAUUUCAAGCACUGACUCAAUCGUAAAUGUCUAGAGAUCUGUGUGUCAUGGGUUAAAGAGCAUUCUGUUCUAUCACAGAGUCGUAAAUGUCUAGAGAUCUGUGUGUCAUGGGUUAAAGAGCAUUCUGUUCCACUAUCACAGUCGUAAAUGUCUAGAGAUCUGUGUGUCAUGGGUUAAAGAGCAUUCUGUUCCACUAUCACAGAGUUGUAAAUGUCUAGAGAUCUGUGUGUCAUGGGUUAAUGAGCAUUCUGUUCUAUCACAGAGUCGUAAAUGUCUAGAGAUCUGUGUGUCAUGGGUUAAAGAGCAUUCUGUUCUAUCACAGAGUCGUAAAUGUCUAGAGAUCUGUGUGUCAUGGGUUAAAGAGCAUUCUGUUCCACUAUCACAGAGUUGUAAAUGUCUAGAGAUCUGUGUGUCAUGGGUUAAAGAGCAUUCUGUUCUAUCACCGAGUCGUAAAUGUCUAGAGAUCUGUGUGUCAUGGGUUAAAGAGCAUUCUGUUCUAUCACAGAGUCGUAAAUGUCUAGAGAUCUGUGUGUCAUGGGUUAAAGAGCAUUCUGUUCUAUCACAUAGUCGUAAAUGUCUAGAGAUCUGUGUGUCAUGGGUUAAUGAGCAUUCUGUUCUAUCACAGAGUCGUAAAUGUCUAGAGAUCUGUGUGUCAUGGGUUAAAGAGCAUUCUGUUCUAUCACAGAGUCGUAAAUGUCUAGAGAUCUGUGUGUCAUGGGUUAAAGAGCAUUCUGUUCUACUAUCACAGGGGUGACACUUUUUUAAAUGUGCAGAAAUGUAUAAUUUGGAAUGCAAGUCUUCCAGUUUAUUCAAGUCGGUACGAGUGGUGGGGUUGUGGAAUUAAGUUUAUGAAUAGCAAAAAUGAUGAAAACAAUCCCAGUUAGGCCUUGAAAGAAAAUUGCAAGAUUACAUAGAGCAUGGAUGCCUCAAUAGUGAAAUGUAACAUGUAUGCAUUGAUACCUGUAGAUUUGUUAUGAAAUGUAACAUGUAUGCAUUGAUACCUGUAGAUUUGUUAUGAAAUGUAACAUGUAUGCAUUGAUACCUGUAGAUUUGUUAUGAAAUGUAACAUGUAUGCAUUGAUACCUGUAGAUUUGUUAUGAAAUGUAACAUGUAUGCAUUGAUACCUGUAGAUUUGUUAUGAAAUGUAACAUGUAUGCAUUGAUACCUGUAGAUUUGUUAUGAAAUGUAACAUGUAUGCAUUGAUACCUGUAGAUUUGUUAUGAAAUGUAACAUGUAUGCAUUGAUACCUGUAGAUUUGUUAUGAAAUGUAACAUGUAUGCAUUGAUACCUGUAGAUUUGUUAUGAAAUGUAACAUGUAUGCAUUGAUACCUGUAGAUUUGUUAUGAAAUGUAACAUGUAUGCAUUGAU
Acipenser ruthenus (sterlet) is the source of this 4318-nucleotide long non-coding RNA. RefSeq lists it as uncharacterized. Lineage: Eukaryota; Metazoa; Chordata; Actinopteri; Acipenseriformes; Acipenseridae. The record is from RefSeq and is a predicted model, not a curated record. The transcript is spliced from 3 exons.